GAUGAACGCUAGCUACAGGCUUAACACAUGCAAGUCGAGGGGCAGCAUGGUCUUAGCUUGCUAAGGCCGAUGGCGACCGGCGCACGGGUGAGUAACACGUAUCCAACCUGCCGUCUACUCUUGGACAGCCUUCUGAAAGGAAGAUUAAUACAAGAUGGCAUCAUGAGUUCACAUGUUCACAUGAUUAAAGGUAUUCCGGUAGACGAUGGGGAUGCGCUCCAUUAGAUAGUAGGCGGGGUAACGGCCCACCUAGUCUUCGAUGGAUAGGGGUUCUGAGAGGAAGGUCCCCCACAUUGGAACUGAGACACGGUCCAAACUCCUACGGGAGGCAGCAGUGAGGAAUAUUGGUCAAUGGGCGAGAGCCUGAACCAGCCAAGUAGCGUGAAGGAUGACUGCCCUAUGGGUUGUAAACUUCUUUUAUAAAGGAAUAAAGUCGGGUAUGUAUACCCGUUUGCAUGUACUUUAUGAAUAAGGAUCGGCUAACUCCGUG
RNAcentral lists this ribosomal RNA (490 nucleotides) under uncultured bacterium. Its description in RNAcentral is "partial 16S ribosomal RNA". It matches the Rfam family "Bacterial small subunit ribosomal RNA", at positions 28 to 507 of the family's 1533-position model. The record is from RNAcentral.